This is a long non-coding RNA of Arachis duranensis, 1143 nucleotides long. RefSeq lists it as uncharacterized. NCBI's taxonomy places the organism in Eukaryota, Viridiplantae, Streptophyta, Magnoliopsida, Fabales, Fabaceae. The record is from RefSeq and is a predicted model, not a curated record. The transcript has 7 exons.
UCGCCCUGCACCCUGCCGCCCACAGCCACCGCAGUCUCUGCCGCUACUGCAGCCACGCAGCCCCCGCAUCAGCCCUCGCAGCUCCCCGCAACCCCCACAGCCUCGCAGCCCCUCAGCGGCGCAGCCACCGCAGCCCCUACAUAGACACAGCCUCUACCGCCACCGUAGAAGAUCCGUCGCCGUCGGAUUCCGAGCUUCUUUUCAUUCCAGAUCAGCGCUUUCUUUGUCAGAUUCCCGUCGCGCAGCUGGUAGAUCGCAAACCCUAACUUUUCUCUUCGGCUGGUGCAACAAGAAGACUACCUCGAUUGAUCAGUAAGGCAAUAGCAAAGGAUCUUAUAUUGACCGGUUGAAGGGUUUACGGCAGAGAAGCUGAGGCUCUAGGACUUGCCAACUACUGUGUUCCUGCUGGUGAAACUUACACAAAGGCACUUGAGGUUGCCAGGAAUAUCAAUGAGAAGUUGGCAAUGAUUAGAGAAAGCAAUCUAAUAUAGUGAGGCUGGAAGCUCUCGGAAUAUCAUCAUUGUUGGGUUAUCAUUGUUUUUCUCUCUUUCCAUACCUGCCUACUUUCAACAAUAUGGUCUCUCUCCAUCCAACAUGUCAGUGCCGAAUUAUUUCCAGCCUUAUGUUGUGGCUUCUCAUGGACCUAUACAGAGCAAGAAUGGAGGGGUCUGGAGAAUGGGGAGAUCAUUUGACAUUGCAAGCAGCUGCUGAUAAGGUUUGCUAUGCAGAGAUAUUUGCUCUCAUUCUCUAAGAAUUGGAUCUCACUCAAUCUGACAAAUAACUUGUAUGCAUGUUUGUUUUUAUGCAUUCUGUGCAUGACCAUGAUUGAAGAGCAUGCAAGCAUCUCUCUUAAAUGGAAUUGCAUAUGCUCAGUCCAAUGUAAACAAAUCAAAGAAGAAGAACUAGAUGAACAAAUACUUUCAAGUUUCAGCCACACAAGAGUCUACCAUGGAGUGAAGAAUCAUGUAACUCAGAUUAGAUUGGAGAGUUUAAACUUUAAAGAGAGCAUGAGGAAAUAGUUUUAAAAUUUAGGCUGAAAGUCCUGCCCUUCUCUGUUGUAGUUUAAAAGAAAUUUUGGGGUAUUUUUUUAUCGAGAUAGUGAGAUAUUGAAUAAUGGUGUUGAAAAAUAACAUCCAAUUUAUA